GAUUGAACGCUGGCGGCAGGCUUAACACAUGCAAGUCGAGCGGGGGAAGGUAGCUUGCUACUGGACCUAGCGGCGGACGGGUGAGUAAUGCUUAGGAAUCUGCCUAUUAGUGGGGGACAACGUUCCGAAAGGGACGCUAAUACCGCAUACGUCCUACGGGAGAAAGCAGGGGAUCUUCGGACCUUGCGCUAAUAGAUGAGCCUAAGUCGGAUUAGCUAGUUGGUGGGGUAAAGGCCUACCAAGGCGACGAUCUGUAGCGGGUCUGAGAGGAUGAUCCGCCACACUGGGACUGAGACACGGCCCAGACUCCUACGGGAGGCAGCAGUGGGGAAUAUUGGACAAUGGGGGGAACCCUGAUCCAGCCAUGCCGCGUGUGUGAAGAAGGCCUUUUGGUUGUAAAGCACUUUAAGCGAGGAGGAGGCUUACCUGGUUAAUACCUGGGAUAAGUGGACGUUACUCGCAGAAUAAGCACCGGCUAACUCUGU
Molecule: ribosomal RNA, 485 nt
Filed under: Acinetobacter sp. 'ARUP UnID 28'
Lineage: Bacteria; Pseudomonadati; Pseudomonadota; Gammaproteobacteria; Moraxellales; Moraxellaceae
Description: bacterial SSU rRNA
Rfam family: Bacterial small subunit ribosomal RNA
Source: RNAcentral